AGCAAACAGGAUUAGAUACCCUGGUAGUCCACGCCGUAAACGAUGUCGACUUGGAGGUUGUGCCCUUGAGGCGUGGCUUCCGGAGCUAACGCGUUAAGUCGACCGCCUGGGGAGUACGGCCGCAAGGUUAAAACUCAAAUGAAUUGACGGGGGCCCGCACAAGCGGUGGAGCAUGUGGUUUAAUUCGAUGCAACGCGAAGAACCUUACCUGGUCUUGACAUCCACAGAACUUUCCAGAGAUGGAUUGGUGCCUUCGGGAACUGUGAGACAGGUGCUGCAUGGCUGUCGUCAGCUCGUGUUGUGAAAUGUUGGGUUAAGUCCCGCAACGAGCGCAACCCUUAUCCUUUGUUGCCAGCGGUCCGGCCGGGAACUCAAAGGAGACUGCCAGUGAUAAACUGGAGGAAGGUGGGGAUGACGUCAAGUCAUCAUGGCCCUUACGACCAGGGCUACACACGUGCUACAAUGGCGCAUACAAAGAGAAGCGACCUCGCGAGAGCAAGCGGACCUCAUAAAGUGCGUCGUAGUCCGGAUUGGAGUCUGCAACUCGACUCCAUGAAGUCGGAAUCGCUAGUAAUCGUGGAUCAGAAUGCCACGGUGAAUACGUUCCCGGGCCUUGUACACACCGCCCGUCACACCAUGGGAGUGGGUUGCAAAAGAAGUAGGUAGCUUAACCUUCGGGAGGGCGCUUACCACUUUGUGAUUCAUGACUGGGGUGAAGUCGUAACAAGGUAACCGUAGGGGAACCUGCGGUUGGAUCAC
RNAcentral lists this ribosomal RNA (759 nucleotides) under Escherichia coli. Its description in RNAcentral is "bacterial SSU rRNA". It matches the Rfam family "Bacterial small subunit ribosomal RNA", at positions 767 to 1526 of the family's 1533-position model. Lineage: Bacteria; Pseudomonadati; Pseudomonadota; Gammaproteobacteria; Enterobacterales; Enterobacteriaceae. The record is from RNAcentral.